UGUAGGUGUUGUCCGUAUUCCCGUCAUUUCACACAGUGUCUCUCGUCAUUUGCUGACGUUCCGUCAGGACGACGGUAACCCUGGACUUCAACGCUGUCGUCAUGGAGACGGUGUGACUUCUUCUCUGUUCACCUCAGGAUGAUGAUGAUGAUGAUGUGUGCUGACUGGACAGACCGAAGACCUUUGUCGUCACACACUGUUUCAUAACAGACAAAUCCUCUGACCGUGCCGAGUGGAGAGAGAGUCAUCCUGUCCAAAUGACCUGAGAGACGUCCAUGUCUUUUUCCAGCACCUCGUCACCACACAGGUGGUAGAGAGAGAGGCUGUGUCAGAGACCCACCUUUUGGCCCUGCUCAGCCCCAAAGACCGCCUUGGGACACCUGCUUGUCUAGCUCACUCCGGCUGCACCACACCCAGAAUAGACUAGCCAUGUCUGCUGCUGACUGCACUACAAAUGUCCCAAUUGGUGGAAAAAUGUAAGAUCAUUAUUCAGCUGAUCACUGCUUUACGCUCAUUGGGGAACGUGGUAGUCUUGCACAGCCUAGUUGAAUGCACUGACGAAGUCUCUGUGGUUAAAAAAAAAAGUGUCUGGUAAAUGACCCAAAUAUAUAAAUUUUAACUUUUUGAUUUUGAUUUGAAGGUGGAGACCAAUAGGUCGAUACAUCUAUCAGGCAGUUUCACCAAUCAGACGUGGACAGAGCGCCUCUCUUAUCUCCGGUUGGUCGGCAGAGACCGUUUGGCCACAAACGGCUACGACACCAAGUGGGAUGCGCCGUUUGACCCGGGGACAGCGAGGGUUACCACACCUACACCACAGAAACAGACCAGGAUCUCCCAGCCCACUAUACAUCAUAGGAGUUCAGUUGUCCCAGCCCACUAUACAUCAUAGGAGUUCAGUUGUCCCAGCCCACUAUACAUCAUAGGAGUUCAGUUGUCCCAGCCCACUAUACAUCAUAGGAGUUCAGUUGUCCCAGCCCACUAUACAUCAUAGGAGUUCAGUUGUCCCAGCCCACUAUACAUCAUAGGAGUUCAGUUGUCCCAGCCCACUAUACAUCAUAGGAGUUCAGUUGUCCCAGCCCACUAUACAUCAUAGGAGUUCAGUUGUCCCAGCCCACUAUACAUCAUAGGAGUUCAGUUGUCCCAGCCCACUAUACAUCAUAGGAGUUCAGUUGUCCCAGCCCACUAUACAUCAUAGGAGUUCAGUUGUCCCAGCCCACUAUACAUCAUAGGAGUUCAGUUGUCCCAGCCCACUAUACAUCAUAGGAGUUCAGUUGUCCCAGCCCACUAUACAUCAUAGGAGUUCAGUUGUCCCAGCCCACUAUACAUCAUAGGAGUUCAGUUGUCCCAGCCCACUAUACAUCAUAGGAGUUCAGUUGUCCCAGCCCACUAUACAUCAUAGGAGUUCAGUUGUCCCAGCCCACUAUACAUCAUAAGAGUUCAGUUGUCCCAGCCCACUAUACAUCAUAGGAGUUCAGUUGUCCCAGCCCACUAUACAUCAUAGGAGUUCAGUUGUCCCAGCCCACUAUACAUCAUAGGAGUUCAGUUAUCCCAGCCCACUAUACAUCAUCGGGAACUUAGUUUAGUAGUUCACAGUCCACUAUACCAGCUGAGUAGUUUCCUCCCCCAGCCCACUACCAGCCCGGUAGGAGAUGGCUCUGACAGCCCACUAUACAUCAUCGGGAACGUAGUUUAGUAUUUCACAGCCCACUAUACCAGCUGAGUAGUUUCCUCCCCCAGCCCACUACCAGCCCGGUAGGUGAUGGCUCUGACAGCCCACUAUACAUCAUCGGGAACUUAGUUUAGUAGUUCACAGUCCACUAUACCAGCUGAGCAGUUUCCUCCCCCAGCCCACUACCAGCCCGGUAGGAGAUGGCUCUGACAGCCCACUACACCUCCAUAGGCCACUCAGUAGUAGUUCACAACCCCCCCCCAGUCCCUUUUUACACCCCAGUAGUUCACAGCUAACUAUACCCAACAAGCAGGCCAGUAGUUGCCUCUCCCAGCCCACUACAUUACACAAGCAGUUAACUAGUUCCAAACCCUACACCGUUAGUAGUCUAUCGCCCUUGACAACGGAAGGUUUGGACUCUAACCUCAGCGGUCAUUUUGAGAACUGUGGUGGCAGCUUAGAAGAGGCCUCAGGAUUAUUUUUGGGGGGGAUCUUUAGGAACCUGUGGAGGCUUCAAUGACAGCAGCUAUAGUCCUCUCAGCUCUCCUCCAUCGCUGCCUCCACAGAGGAGCUAUCCUUCAUAAAGUCCUCACAACCUAAACGGAAGAAGUCUGGCAUGGGUCUCUGACCUCAGUAUUGAUGGAUGCAGCCUCACCUCAAACUGGUCCUUUUCAAACCAGAUGAUGGAUAAAACUAUGACAUAUAUUCCUGUAUACCUUUCACCCUGAUCCCAGCAGUCCUCAGGAAUGGUUGGCAGUUCAGGGACGCUGUAGUAGCUGGUGUGAAGAUUCUGAGCUGUCCUUCUCGACACGAUCCAGACAAGCUUUUUAUUGUUGGGUUUGCUACAUUCGGGAGAAGAGUAGUCGGACAUACACUUGGCCACUAGUCCCUUCCAGUGUAGCAGCUCAACGUCGGUGAUCUGUAAAAGACGAGCAGGGCAUCAUAACAUUGGACACCGGGUUACAUAAUAGACUGGGUCAGCAGAAACCCUUUUGGGAUGGAUCCCAGGCGUUGUAAAAGGAUAGCAGCCGGGAACAUGAGGCCGGGGAAUGUGAAAGCUUUUAUUUUUUAAUAUCUUUCCGUAACCGUGCCAGUUGUCAUGUGAAACCUUUUGGACUAGGGUUGUAGGGCAUACAAUAUUCAGAGAUGGUUCCAGGGGGAAAAAUAGGUUUCUUUUGUGUACGAUUUUGACAGUUAACACCGGGUUACUGCUGUUUUAAAACAAAGGAUUACAUCCAUGCAAUAAAGCUUCAAGGAUGUUCUAACAAGUGUA
Oncorhynchus nerka (sockeye salmon) is the source of this 2942-nucleotide long non-coding RNA. RefSeq lists it as uncharacterized. The record is from RefSeq and is a predicted model, not a curated record. NCBI's taxonomy places the organism in Eukaryota, Metazoa, Chordata, Actinopteri, Salmoniformes, Salmonidae. The transcript has 5 exons.